GAUCCUGGCUCAGGAUGAACGCUGGCGGCGUGCUUAACACAUGCAAGUCGAACGAACUGAUAAGGAGCUUGCUCCUUUGAAGUUAGUGGCGGACGGGUGCGUAACACGUAUCCAAUCUGCCCGUUACUCGGGGAUAGCCUUCUGAAAAGGAAGAUUAAUACCCGAUGGCAUGUAUUUCCGGCAUCGGAGAUACAUUAAAGAUUUAUCGGUAGCGGAUGGGGGAUGCGUUCCAUUAGAUAGUUGGCGGGGUAACGGCCCACCAAGUCUUCGAUGGAUAGGGGUUCUGAGAGGAAGGUCCCCCACACUGGAACUGAGACACGGUCCAGACUCCUACGGGAGGCAGCAGUGAGGAAUAUUGGUCAAUGGACGCAAGUCUGAACCAGCCAAGUAGCGUGAAGGAUGACUGCCCUAUGGGUUGUAAACUUCUUUUAUACGGGAAUAAAAGACAUUACGUGUAGUGUUUUGCAUGUACCGUUAUGAAUAAGCAUCGGCUAAUUCCGUG
RNAcentral lists this ribosomal RNA (502 nucleotides) under uncultured bacterium. Its description in RNAcentral is "bacterial SSU rRNA". It matches the Rfam family "Bacterial small subunit ribosomal RNA", at positions 15 to 507 of the family's 1533-position model. The record is from RNAcentral.